GACGAACGCUGGCGGCGUGCUUAACACAUGCAAGUCGAACGGAAAGGCCAUGCUUUUGUGGGGUGCUCGAGUGGCGAACGGGUGAGUAAAACGUGAGUAACCUGCCCUUGACUUUGGGAUAACUUCAGGAAAAUGGGGCUAAUACAGGAUAGGAGCUCCUGCUGCAUGGUGGGGGUUGGAAAGUUUCGGCGGUUGGGGAUGGACUCGCGGCUUAUCAGCUUGUUGGUGGGGUAGUGGCUUACCAAGGCUUUGACGGGUAGCCGGCCUGAGAGGGUGACCGGCCACAUUGGGACUGAGAGACGGCCCAGACUCCUACGGGAGGCAGCAGUGGGGAAUAUUGCACAAUGGGCGGAAGCCUGAUGCAGCAACGCCGCGUGCGGGAUGACGGCCUUCGGGUUGUAAACCUCUUUCGCCUGUGACGAAGCGUGAGUGACGGUAAUGGGUAAAGAAGCACCGGCUAACUACGUG
This 468-nucleotide ribosomal RNA is filed under the name uncultured bacterium. RNAcentral describes it as "partial 16S ribosomal RNA". It matches the Rfam family "Bacterial small subunit ribosomal RNA", at positions 28 to 507 of the family's 1533-position model. The record is from RNAcentral.